This 431-nucleotide long non-coding RNA is filed under the name Cavia porcellus (domestic guinea pig). Its description in RNAcentral is "lncRNA (ENSCPOG00000037562.1)". Lineage: Eukaryota; Metazoa; Chordata; Mammalia; Rodentia; Caviidae. The record is from RNAcentral.
GUCAUACUGCUCGGACGAAAUACUUCACGUCCACAAGCUAAAGGUUUAUUUUAGAACAUCUGACAGGCUCUAAGAGCCAUCCUAAGAGUAUGCAGUAAGGCGGAAUAAGCGGCAGUCAUUCCACACUGAAUCUCUCUAACCAGCCUCAGAAAUACCUCAGGAAAUGGGGUUCCACAAGCCAAUACCAGCCUCUUCCUGCAAAUUCCUCUGGGAGAACACAAUGAGGAAACACCUCACCACACAUUAGCCUGGGCAAGAAGGAGCACUAAGGCCACCUUCUUCUCAGUGUGCACCUUGAGGCUGACCAGGAAAGAAGCGGAACUCAGGUCAUCUGAGCAAAGCUGUGCAGUACUUGAAGAGUCCCUUCAAUACGCUGGAAUUCUCCACUUACUCUAGCCAUUCCACAGAAAGUUACUCCUUGGAGAGCGAAG